UUAAAUAGCUGCAGUAUUUUAACUGUACAAAGGUAGCAUAAUCAAUAGUUUUUUAAUUGAAAGCUGGAAUGAAAGGUUUGAUGAAAUAAAAUCUUUUUUUUUUUUAAAAUUUAAAAUUUUUUUAUUAGUAAAAAAACUAAUAUGAAUUUAUAAGACGAGAAGACCCUAUAGACUUUAAUAUUAUUUUGAAUGAAUAAAAUUUAAUUUAUUAAUUUUAUUUAAAAUAUUAUUUAAUUGGGGUGAUUAAUAAAUUUAAAUAACUUUAAUUAAGUUUAACAAUAAUGAUUGGAUAAUUGAUCCUUAAGUUUGGAUUAAUAGAAUAAAUUACCUUAGGGAUAACAGUAUAA
Molecule: ribosomal RNA, 347 nt
Filed under: Ophion idoneus
Lineage: Eukaryota; Metazoa; Arthropoda; Insecta; Hymenoptera; Ichneumonidae
Description: partial 16S ribosomal RNA
Source: RNAcentral